This 449-nucleotide ribosomal RNA is filed under the name bacterium UASWS0089. RNAcentral describes it as "bacterial SSU rRNA". It matches the Rfam family "Bacterial small subunit ribosomal RNA", at positions 33 to 471 of the family's 1533-position model. The record is from RNAcentral.
GACGCUGGCGGCAGGCCUAACACAUGUCAAGUUCGAGGCGGCAGCGGGCAAAGUAGCUUGCUACUUUUGCCGGCGAGCGGCGGACGGGUGAGUAAUGCCUGGGAAAUUGCCCAGUCGAGGGGGAUAACAGUUGGAAACGACUGCUAAUACCGCAUACGCCCUACGGGGGAAAGCAGGGGACCUUCGGGCCUUGCGCGAUUGGAUAUGCCCAGGUGGGAUUAGCUAGUUGGUGAGGUAAUGGCUCACCAAGGCGACGAUCCCUAGCUGGUCUGAGAGGAUGAUCAGCCACACUGGAACUGAGACACGGUCCAGACUCCUACGGGAGGCAGCAGUGGGGAAUAUUGCACAAUGGGGGAAACCCUGAUGCAGCCAUGCCGCGUGUGUGAAGAAGGCCUUCGGGUUGUAAAGCACUUUCAGCGAGGAGGAAAGGUUGAUGCCUAAUACCUAUG